RNAcentral lists this long non-coding RNA (333 nucleotides) under Cricetulus griseus (Chinese hamster). RNAcentral's name for it is "lncRNA (ENSCGRG00015039238.1)". The record is from RNAcentral. Lineage: Eukaryota; Metazoa; Chordata; Mammalia; Rodentia; Cricetidae.
UUUUUUCUUUUUCCCAAGCAUCUUAUUCCUAUGAUCAUCACUUCCCAAUCUGAUGCGACUGACUCGGCAGGCAUUCAGGAGCCUGUGAGCUCCAUUUUCCUCUAUGAAAAUCUUCUGCACCUAGACAAUCGUAUUUUCCAUAUCUCUCCCACCACCCACUCCCCAAGGAUAGUGAAACCUGCUACGGGGGAUCAUCAAAGUCUGUCACAUCAUUUUCUUAAUGGCUCUGUGCGAUUAAACUCCAGAAUGAGUAACUAAUGAUCCUGGUUGUACAAGGCAUGUUCAAAACUGGAGUCCAAGUUAAAUAUGGGCGCUGGUGAGAUAGCCUCAGUG